Molecule: long non-coding RNA, 746 nt
Organism: Zonotrichia leucophrys gambelii
Lineage: Eukaryota; Metazoa; Chordata; Aves; Passeriformes; Passerellidae
Exons: 3
Source: RefSeq, a predicted model, not a curated record
UCAUGUAACAGCAGGCAUUGGCCACAGGCUGUGCCUCUGGAAGUUCAGGCUGGACAGCAAGAGAAGGUGAUUCUCCAGGAGGGUGGUGGAACAGUGGAACAUGCUGUCCAGGGAGAUGGCAGUCUUUAGGGGCUUUUAAGACUUAGCAAGACAGAGCCAUGGCUGACCUGCUGUGAUGUUGGGAAUAACCCUACUGGAGCAGAAAGCUGGGCUAGACUGGCCCGACAACAGGUAUGUUCUGGAUAAGCUGUGUAUAAGUUCUCUAGGAAACACGUUUCCACAGAAGUCCUCAGCACCAGAAGUUUUUCAUCACACCAAAUUUAGCAGCAGGUCAGGUGCAUGGGCCUUUGGCAAACAGAAACUCUGCCCACUCCACAUUUGCUUCAUAUGUGUCUGAUAUGGUAAACUUUGGCAGUGGAGAUCAAGUCAAGUCUUUGGUCUGUCUAGACCAUAAAUCAGUGUUGCCCUGCUGUGAAAAAGAAACUCUGGGAGCUGGGACUCUGAAUCUCAGAAAAAAGUAUAUCUGUUUGCAGAUCACUUCCCACCAGGAGAUUCAAACAUUUCAACUUCUACUUCAGUGGUUCCAAAUCCCUGGAGUCUGUUCAGCGUUUCUAAAAGUCUGCAAAAGGUGUCAAAGGAAAGGGAACCUUUUGUGAACAGGCUUGAAUUCCACUUAUCUGGGCCUGCUCCUCCAGAAGGAAAAUUUUGGCAGCUGUCAAAGUGAUGAAAGAUUGGCAACCCACUGU